This 253-nucleotide ribosomal RNA is filed under the name uncultured bacterium. RNAcentral's name for it is "partial 16S ribosomal RNA". It matches the Rfam family "Bacterial small subunit ribosomal RNA", at positions 524 to 776 of the family's 1533-position model. The record is from RNAcentral.
UACGUAGGGGGCUAGCGUUGUCCGGAAUCAUUGGGCGUAAAGAGCGCGUAGGCGGCUAGGUAAGUCCGACGUGAAAUCUGGAGGCUCAACCUCCAGCGGUCGUUGGAAACUACUUGGCUAGAGUCCGGAAGAGGAGAGUGGAAUUCCUGGUGUAGCGGUGAAAUGCGCAGAUAUCAGGAAGAACACCGAUGGUGAAAGCAGCUCUCUGGGACGGUACUGACGCUGAAUAGCGAAAGCCAGGGGAGCAAACGGG